AGUGAACGCUGGCGGUAGGCCUAACACAUGCAAGUCGAACGGCAGCACAGUAAGAGCUUGCUCUUACGGGUGGCGAGUGGCGGACGGGUGAGGAAUACAUCGGAAUCUACUUUUUCGUGGGGGAUAACGUAGGGAAACUUACGCUAAUACCGCAUACGACCUACGGGUGAAAGCAGGGGAUCUUCGGACCUUGCGCGAUUGAAUGAGCCGAUGUCGGAUUAGCUAGUUGGCGGGGUAAAGGCCCACCAAGGCGACGAUCCGUAGCUGGUCUGAGAGGAUGAUCAGCCGCACUGGAACUGAGACUCGGUCCAGACUCCUACGGGAGGCAGCAGUGGGGAAUAUUGGACAAAGGGCGCAAGCCUGAUCCAGCCAUACCGCGUGGGUGAAGAAGGCCUUCGGGUUGUAAAGCCCUUUUGUUGGGAAAGAAAAGCAGCAGGUUAAUACCCCGCUGUUCUGACGGUACCCAAAGAAUAAGCACCGGCUAACUUCGUG
RNAcentral lists this ribosomal RNA (492 nucleotides) under uncultured bacterium. RNAcentral's name for it is "partial 16S ribosomal RNA". It matches the Rfam family "Bacterial small subunit ribosomal RNA", at positions 29 to 507 of the family's 1533-position model. The record is from RNAcentral.